UUUACCUACGGGGGGCAGCAGCCGCGGUAAUACGUAGGAUGCGAGCGUUAUCCGGAAUUACUGGGUGUAAAGGGAGCGCAGGCGGGACUGCAAGUUGGAUGUGAAAUACCGCAGCUUAACUGCGGAGCUGCAUCCAAAACUGUAGUUCUUGAGUGGAGUAGAGGCAAGCGGAAUUCCGAGUGUAGCGGUGAAAUGCGUAGAUAUUCGGAGGAACACCAGUGGCGAAGGCGGCUUGCUGGGCUCUAACUGACGCUGAGGCUCGAAAGUGUGGGGAGCAAACAGGAUUA
Molecule: ribosomal RNA, 287 nt
Filed under: uncultured bacterium
Lineage: Bacteria
Description: partial 16S ribosomal RNA
Rfam family: Bacterial small subunit ribosomal RNA
Source: RNAcentral